RNAcentral lists this ribosomal RNA (497 nucleotides) under uncultured bacterium. RNAcentral describes it as "partial 16S ribosomal RNA". It matches the Rfam family "Bacterial small subunit ribosomal RNA", at positions 28 to 507 of the family's 1533-position model. The record is from RNAcentral.
GAUGAACGCUGGCGGCGUGCCUAAUACAUGCAAGUCGAGCGAACGGACGAGAAGCUUGCUUCUCUGAUGUUAGCGGCGGACGGGUGAGUAACACGUGGAUAAACUAACUAUAAGACUGGGAUAACUUCGGGAAACCGGAGCUAAUACCGGAUAAUAUUUUGAACCGCAUGGUUCAAAAGUGAAAGUCGGUAGUGCGGUCGCUUAUAGAUGGAUCCGCGCUGCAUUAGCUAGUUGGUAAGGUAACGGCUUACCCAGGCAACGAUGCAUAGCCGACCUGAGCGGGUGGACGGCUAGCCUGUCUGUGAGAAACGGCCGCGACUCCUACAGGAGGACGCAGUAGGGACUCCUCCGCAAUGCACCAGUGCCUGACGGUGCACCGCGGCGUGAGUCAUGAAGGUCUUCGGCUCCUUAAACUCUGUAAUUAGUGAAGAACAUAUGUGUUAGUAACUGUGAACAUCUUGACGGUACCGAGUCAGAAAGCCACGGCUAACUCCGUG